AGAGUUUGAUCCUGGCUCAGGACGAACGCUGGCGGCAUGCCUAACACAUGCAAGUCGAACGGAGAGCAUUCGCUGAAGUUUUCGGAUGGACGUGGAUGUUUCUUAGUGGCGGACGGGCGAGUAACGCGUGAGCAACCUGCCCCUCAGUGGGGAACAACAGUUGGAAACGACUGCUAAUACCGCAUAACGUAUAGUUGCCGCAUGGCGACGAUACCAAAGGAUUUAUUCGCUGAGGGAUGGGCUCGCGUCCGAUUAGAUAGUUGGUGAGGUAACGGCCCACCAAGUCGACGAUCGGUAGCCGAACUGAGAGGUUGAUCGGCCGCAUUGGGACUGAGACACGGCCCAGACUCCUACGGGAGGCAGCAGUGGGGGAUAUUGCACAAUGGGGGAAACCCUGAUGCAGCAAUGCCGCGUGAGGGAAGACGGUCUUCGGAUUGUAAACCUAAGUAGUCAGGGAUGAAGAAAGUGACAUUACCUGAAGAGUAAGCUCCGGCUAACUACGUGCCAGCAGCCGCGGUAAUACGUAGGGAGCGAGCGUUGUCCGGAUUUACUGGGUGUAAAGGGUGCGUAGGCGGGCUUGCAAGUCAGGCGUGAAAUACCGGGGCUUAACUCCGGGGCUGCGCUUGAAACUGUAAGUCUUGAGUGAAGUAGAGGCAGGCGGAAUUCCCAGUGUAGCGGUGAAAUGCGUAGAUAUUGGGAGGAACACCAGUGGCGAAGGCGGCCUGCUGGGCUUUAACUGACGCUGAGGCACGAAAGUAUGGGGAGCAAACAGGAUUAGAUACCCUGGUAGUCCAUACUGUAAACGAUGAUUGCUAGGUGGGGGGGGGGUCUGACCCCCCUCCGUGCCG
This 848-nucleotide ribosomal RNA is filed under the name uncultured bacterium. Its description in RNAcentral is "bacterial SSU rRNA". It matches the Rfam family "Bacterial small subunit ribosomal RNA", at positions 8 to 848 of the family's 1533-position model. The record is from RNAcentral.